AGCUAUAGGAAACAGCAACAGCCUUUUAAGCUGUAGAUAGGUGACUUCCGUCCACCCUCAUCGA
This 64-nucleotide transfer RNA is filed under the name Allobates aff. melanolaemusi AR-2020. RNAcentral describes it as "tRNA-Lys". Lineage: Eukaryota; Metazoa; Chordata; Amphibia; Anura; Aromobatidae. The record is from RNAcentral.